GAGUUUGAUCCUGGCUCAGAACGAACGCUGGCGGCGUGGAUAAGACAUGCAAGUCGAACGCUAAUCAUCAGGUAGCAAUAUCUGGUGGUUGGAGUGGCGCAAGGGUGCGUAACGCGUGGGUAAUCUGCCGUGAAGUUUGGGAUAACUCGCUGAAAGGCGAGCUAAUACCGGAUGUGAAGAUAGAGAGGCAUCUCUUUAUCUUCAAAGCUGGGGACCGCAAGGCCUGGCGCUUCACGAUGAACCCGCGGCCUAUCAGCUAGUUGGUGAGGUAACGGCCCACCAAGGCUAAGACGGGUAGCUGGUCUGAGGGGACGACCAGCCACACUGGAACUGAGACACGGUCCAGACACCUACGGGUGGCAGCAGUCGAGAAUUUUUCACAAUGGGCGAAAGCCUGAUGGAGCGACGCCGCGUGGGGGAUGAAUGGCUUCGGCCCGUAAACCCCUGUCAUUUGCGAACAAACCGCAUUAUUUAAAAGAUGAUGCGUUGAUGGUAGCGAAAGAGGAAGGGACGGCUAACUCUGUGCCAGCAGCCGCGGUAAUACGUAGGGGGCCAGCGUUGCUCGGAAUUACUGGGCGUAAAGGGUUCGUAGGUGGUGCGGCAAGUUGGGAGUGAAAUCUCUGGGCUUAACCCAGAGGCUGCUUUCAAAACUGCCGUGCUCGAGUGCGAGAGAGGUCAGUGGAAUUGCAGGUGUAGCGGUGAAAUGCGUAGAUAUCUGCAGGAACACCCGUGGCGAAGGCGGCUGACUGGAUCGCAACUGACACUGAGGAACGAAAGCUAGGGGAGCAAACAGGAUUAGAUACCCUGGUAGUCCUAGCCCUAAACCAUCAGGACUUGGGGUGGCCCGCGUAGGCGGGUCGUCCCGUAGCUAACGCGUUAAGUCCUGCGCCUGGGGAGUACGGUCGCAAGACUGAAACUCAAAGGAAUUGACGGGGGCCCGCACAAGCGGUGGAACAUGUGGUUCAAUUCGACGCAACGCGAAGAACCUUACCUGGGCUUGAACCGCUACUGACCAACGGUAGAAAUAUCGUCUUCCCGCAAGGGACAGUAGUAGAGGUGCUGCAUGGCUGUCGUCAGCUCGUGCCGUGAGGUGUUGGGUUAAGUCCCGCAACGAGCGCAACCCUUAUUCGUAGUUGCCACCCGCAAGGGGGAACUCUACGAGGACUGCUCCGGAUAACGGAGAGGAAGGUGGGGAUGACGUCAAGUCAGCACGGCCUUUAUGUCCAGGGCUACACACGUGUUACAAUGCACGGUACAGACUGUUGCGAACCCGCGAGGGGGAGCCAAUCGGAUAAAACCGUGCUCAGUUCGGAUUGCAGUCUGCAACUCGACUGCAUGAAGCCGGAAUCGCUAGUAAACGCAGGUCAGCUAAACUGCGUUGAAUACGUUCCCGGGCCUUGCACACAC
Molecule: ribosomal RNA, 1407 nt
Filed under: uncultured bacterium
Lineage: Bacteria
Description: bacterial SSU rRNA
Rfam family: Bacterial small subunit ribosomal RNA
Source: RNAcentral